Strongyloides venezuelensis is the source of this 315-nucleotide non-coding RNA. It matches the Rfam family "Metazoan signal recognition particle RNA". From Rfam's summary of the family: The signal recognition particle (SRP) is a universally conserved ribonucleoprotein. It is involved in the co-translational targeting of proteins to membranes. The eukaryotic SRP consists of a 300-nucleotide 7S RNA and six proteins: SRPs 72, 68, 54, 19, 14, and 9. The record is from Rfam. NCBI's taxonomy places the organism in Eukaryota, Metazoa, Nematoda, Chromadorea, Rhabditida, Strongyloididae.
GUCGGGAGCUGUGGUGGACUCUUGUAAACCAACUUCUAGGUGGCUUAGAAUGGGGAAGAUUUGCCUGUCGGGCUACAACUUGGCUGCCCGCCGUCGUUGACCGAGUGUCCGUGUCAAGCAUAGCGUCGAUAGACCAUUAGUGGGGGAGCCCGUUAGUGAUCGGUCGUAGUCAGUUUACUGACUUAUAAAGAGAGAUGGAUGGCUCAGGUUCGUGAGAGAGCAGGCAAAAGUCUUCGCGCUAUGACAGUGGCCGGAUAGCACACGCGAGGCGUUGGGUUUCAGGUGCCGGCAUUAUAUAGUCUCACCCGUUCUUUU